CGACAGGCUUAACACAUGCAAGUCGAGGGGCAGCAUUUUAGUUUGCUUGCAAACUGAAGAUGGCGACCGGCGCACGGGUGAGUAACACGUAUCCAACCUGCCGAUAACUCCGGAAUAGCCUUUCGAAAGAAAGAUUAAUACCGGAUGGCAUACGAAUAUCGCAUGAUAUUUUUAUUAAAGAAUUUCGGUUAUCGAUGGGGAUGCGUUCCAUUAGUUUGUUGGCGGGGUAACGGCCCACCAAGACUACGAUGGAUAGGGGUUCUGAGAGGAAGGUCCCCCACAUUGGAACUGAGACACGGUCCAAACUCCUACGGGAGGCAGCAGUGAGGAAUAUUGGUCAAUGGACGAGAGUCUGAACCAGCCAAGUAGCGUGAAGGAUGAAGGCUCUAUGGGUCGUAAACUUCUUUUAUAUGGGAAUAAAGUUUUCCACGUGUGGAAUUUUGUAUGUACCAUAUGAAUAAGGAUCGGCUAACUCCGUGCCAGCAGCCGCGGUAAUACGGAGGAUCCGAGCGUUAUCCGGAUUUAUUGGGUUUAAAGGGAGCGUAGGUGGAUUGUUAAGUCAGUUGUGAAAGUUUGCGGCUCAACCGUAAAAUUGCAGUUGAAACUGGGAGUCUUGAGUACAGUAGAGGUGGGCGGAAUUCGUGGUGUAGCGGUGAAAUGCUUAGAUAUCACGAAGAACUCCGAUUGCGAAGGCAGCUCACUAGACUGUCACUGACACUGAUGCUCGAAAGUGUGGGUAUCAAACAGGAUUAGAUACCCUGGUAGUCCACACAGUAAACGAUGAAUACUCGCUGUUUGCGAUAUACAGUAAGCGGCCAAGCGAAAGCAUUAAGUAUUCCACCUGGGGAGUACGCCGGCAACGGUGAAACUCAAAGGAAUUGACGGGGGCCCGCACAAGCGGAGGAACAUGUGGUUUAAUUCGAUGAUACGCGAGGAACCUUACCCGGGCUUAAAUUGCAACAGAAUAUAUUGGAAACAGUAUAGCCGUAAGGCUGUUGUGAAGGUGCUGCAUGGUUGUCGUCAGCUCGUGCCGUGAGGUGUCGGCUUAAGUGCCAUAACGAGCGCAACCCUUAUCUUUAGUUACUAACAGGUUAUGCUGAGGACUCUAGAGAGACUGCCGUCGUAAGAUGUGAGGAAGGUGGGGAUGACGUCAAAUCAGCACGGCCCUUACGUCCGGGGCUACACACGUGUUACAAUGGGGGGUACAGAAGGCGGCUACCUGGUGACAGGAUGCUAAUCCCAAAAACCUCUCUCAGUUCGGAUCGAAGUCUGCAACCCGACUUCGUGAAGCUGGAUUCGCUAGUAAUCGCGCAUCAGCCAUGGCGCGGUGAAUACGUUCCCGGGCCUUGUACACACCGCCCGUCAAGCCAUGAAAGCCGGGGGUACCUGAAGUACGUAACCGCAAGGAGCGUCCUAGGGUAAAACUGGUAAUUGGGGC
RNAcentral lists this ribosomal RNA (1438 nucleotides) under uncultured organism. RNAcentral describes it as "SSU rRNA". It matches the Rfam family "Bacterial small subunit ribosomal RNA". The record is from RNAcentral.